RNAcentral lists this ribosomal RNA (312 nucleotides) under uncultured bacterium. RNAcentral describes it as "bacterial SSU rRNA". It matches the Rfam family "Bacterial small subunit ribosomal RNA", at positions 29 to 324 of the family's 1533-position model. The record is from RNAcentral.
AACGAACGCUGGCGGCGUGCCUAACACAUGCAAGUCGUGCGAGAAAGUUCCUUCGGGAGCGAGUAAAGCGGCGCACGGGUGAGUAACACGUAGGUAACCUGCCCCCCAGUCUGGAACAACUAGAGGAAACUCUAGCUAAUGCCGGAUGAGACCACGAUCCCUUCGGGGGUUGCGGCCAAAGAUGGCCUCUACUUGUAAGCUAUCGCUGAGGGAUGGGCCUGCGGGCCAUUAGCUUGUUGGUGAGGUAACGGCUCACCAAGGCUGUGAUGGCUAGCUGGUCUGAGAGGAUGACCAGCCACACUGGGACUGAGA